AGUGGGGCAGCUACCAUGCAGUCGAGCGGUAGCACAGAGAGCUUGCUCUCGGGUGACGAGCGGCGGACGGGUGAGUAAUGUCUGGGAAACUGCCUGAUGGAGGGGGAUAACUACUGGAAACGGUAGCUAAUACCGCAUAACGUCGCAAGACCAAAGUGGGGGACCUUCGGGCCUCAUGCCAUCAGAUGUGCCCAGAUGGGAUUAGCUAGUAGGUGGGGUAACGGCUCACCUAGGCGACGAUCCCUAGCUGGUCUGAGAGGAUGACCAGCCACACUGGAACUGAGACACGGUCCAGACUCCUACGGGAGGCAGCAGUGGGGAAUAUUGCACAAUGGGCGCAAGCCUGAUGCAGCCAUGCCGCGUGUGUGAAGAAGGCCUUCGGGUUGUAAAGCACUUUCAGCGGGGAGGAAGGCGUUAAGGUUAAUAACCUUGUCGAUUGACGUUACCCGCAGAAGAAGCACCGGCUAACUCCGUGCCAGCAGCCGCGGUAAUACGGAGGGUGCAAGCGUUAAUCGGAAUUACUGGGCGUAAAGCGCACGCAGGCGGUCUGUCAAGUCGGAUGUGAAAUCCCCGGGCUCAACCUGGGAACUGCAUUCGAAACUGGCAGGCUAGAGUCUUGUAGAGGGGGGUAGAAUUCCAGGUGUAGCGGUGAAAUGCGUAGAGAUCUGGAGGAAUACCGGUGGCGAAGGCGGCCCCCUGGACAAAGACUGACGCUCAGGUGCGAAAGCGUGGGGAGCAAACAGGAUUAGAUACCCUGGUAGUCCACGCCGUAAACGAUGUCGAUUUGGAGGUUGUGCCCUUGAGGCGUGGCUUCCGGAGCUAACGCGUUAAAUCGACCGCCUGGGGAGUACGGCCGCAAGGUUAAAACUCAAAUGAAUUGACGGGGGCCCGCACAAGCGGUGGAGCAUGUGGUUUAAUUCGAUGCAACGCGAAGAACCUUACCUGGUCUUGACAUCCACAGAACUUUCCAGAGAUGCAUUGGUGCCUUCGGGAACUGUGAGACAGGUGCUGCAUGGCUGUCGUCA
Molecule: ribosomal RNA, 1025 nt
Filed under: Klebsiella quasivariicola
Lineage: Bacteria; Pseudomonadati; Pseudomonadota; Gammaproteobacteria; Enterobacterales; Enterobacteriaceae
Description: bacterial SSU rRNA
Rfam family: Bacterial small subunit ribosomal RNA
Source: RNAcentral